This 194-nucleotide microRNA precursor is filed under the name Oryza brachyantha (malo sina). RNAcentral's name for it is "MIR812 microRNA precursor family". It matches the Rfam family "MIR812 microRNA precursor family". Lineage: Eukaryota; Viridiplantae; Streptophyta; Magnoliopsida; Poales; Poaceae. The record is from Rfam by way of RNAcentral.
AAUAAACCAAUUCCUACGUUUUUGGAUUGAAUUUUUGACUCUUCGUCUUAUUUGAAAUUUUUUUAUGAUUAUUAUUUUUAUUGUUAUUACAUGAUAAAAUAUGAAUAGUACUUUGCAUGUGACUAUUUUUUUAAUUUUUUAAUAAAUUCUUCAAAUAAGAUGGAUGGUCAAACGCUCUAUAGGCAAAACUUAGA